GAUGAACGCUGGCGGCGUGCUUAACACAUGCAAGUCGAACGAUGAAGCCCAGCUUGCUGGGUGGAUUAGUGGCGAACGGGUGAGUAACACGUGAGUAACCUGCCCUUAACUCUGGGAUAAGCCUGGGAAACUGGGUCUAAUACCGGAUAGGAGCGCCUACCGCAUGGUGGGUGUUGGAAAGAUUUAUCGGUUUUGGAUGGACUCGCGGCCUAUCAGCUUGUUGGUGAGGUAAUGGCUCACCAAGGCGACGACGGGUAGCCGGCCUGAGAGGGUGACCGGCCACACGGGGACUGAGACACGGCCGAGACCCCUCCGGGGGGCAGCAGGGGGGAAUAUUGCAAAAGGGGCGAAAGCCUGAUGCAGGGACGCCGGGUGGGGGAGGACGGCCUUCGGGUGGUAAACCUCUUUCAGUAGGGAAGAAGCGAAAGGGACGGUACCGGCAAAAGAAGCACCGGCCAACUACGG
This 465-nucleotide ribosomal RNA is filed under the name uncultured bacterium. RNAcentral describes it as "partial 16S ribosomal RNA". It matches the Rfam family "Bacterial small subunit ribosomal RNA", at positions 28 to 506 of the family's 1533-position model. The record is from RNAcentral.